UGCAUGGUUGUGCAUCCUUCAUCUACAGCCCUCAGACCCAGUUCUCUAGAACUGACAUUGUCCUCCACUGCUCCUAAUCUCCUGCCACUGACCUUAAACCUUCACAACCUCAGACUCCCUCCACAACUGUGUCUUCUACCACCACCCUCAUUCUCUGUCCGCUUGACUUGUGACACGUCUUGACAGAAUUUAUCCCCACAGCACAGUGGAAAAUUCACUACUAUCAACACCUGACAAAAAAAGUAUCCAGUCUACCGCACCAGUUUGAUUGGAUCCACAUUUUCUCUCUCAUGUCUUCAUCGUAUUGCUAAAAAAACACACCUUUCAAGGGUACUUAGAGAAUAACAGCUUCUUACCCAUUCAGAAGUAUCUCUCUGUGGCACCUCCACUAUCUCUACCCACAUCUAUAACUCUUAUCACCUCUCCGUGAGCAUGGAGAGGUGGUAUCUCCAAGGUUCAUGACCAGUCUCGUGCUUUUCUAUAAGAUGAGGGGAAAUUGAACGUAAAGAUUUGCCUUGAAACUGGUUGUGGGGAACAGCAUAAUCAGUCAAAAUCCUGACUGCUCCAUAUAAGUGACCAUCUUCCUCCUCAUUUACUACUCCACAUAAUUAUGUGUCACCCCAAAACUAAUAAAUGACUCAUUACUAUAUUCUUCUGAAUCUGCAGCAGGGACAGCUGGGAGAGCUAAACAGAUGUUUGUGAAAAGGAACCACAUGAAAGGACGAUCUCAUAUCUCCAUUUUUACAUGCCUGCUGCUCAGCGUUCACCUGCUUAAUUUGUACUACAUGUAUUUUGCACAGUGUUAAUUUUUAAAAUGCUGCACAAUCUUCAGCUAUGUUAGAUCAAGAGUUUUCCAGUUGGAUGCCUUAUUUUUUUAAAGAACGGUGAAGAAGAAAACAAGAUCCUGUGCCAGCUAAGAGCACCCUGCCAAUAUAUAUGAACACUUUCCUCUGACCUUAUCGAUUCAAUCACAUCAUGAUGCAUACAGGCCCAGGAAAACAAAACUCUGGAAGAGCAAACAAACGGAAAAGGUCAGAAAGGUCCCUGUAUUUAUUGUGUAAGGAGAAAUAGAGACUAGCUACACUUCAAAGAAUGACAGGCAAAAGGCAGUGUUUGAAAAUAAAAUAUUUCUAAGUGAAUGUUAAUUAAACACAA
Molecule: long non-coding RNA, 1155 nt
Organism: Falco peregrinus (peregrine falcon)
Lineage: Eukaryota; Metazoa; Chordata; Aves; Falconiformes; Falconidae
Exons: 2
Source: RefSeq, a predicted model, not a curated record